Molecule: small RNA, 353 nt
Filed under: Enterococcus hermanniensis
Lineage: Bacteria; Bacillati; Bacillota; Bacilli; Lactobacillales; Enterococcaceae
Description: cspA thermoregulator
Rfam family: cspA thermoregulator
Source: Rfam by way of RNAcentral
UUGUAGUUGUUGUACGGUAAUAUUGGUAAGUUUGUUUCAAACAACAUCCUUCCUAUUUCACCAUUCAAGUAAUUACAAAUCAAUUUUAUCCUAGGAGGAUGUUUAACAUGGAACAAGGUACAGUAAAAUGGUUUAACUCAGAAAAAGGCUACGGAUUUAUUACUGCAGAAAACGGAAACGAUGUAUUCGUACAUUUCUCAGCAAUCCAAGGCGACGGAUUCAAAACUUUAGAAGAAGGUCAAGCAGUGACUUUCGAUGUUGAAGAUGGCCAACGUGGACCACAAGCAACUAACGUAAACAAAGCUUAAUUAGUUGAAUUUUACAAGCCGGAUGCGCAAGCAUCUGGCUUUUUU